UUUGUUCUUAAUUGACUUGCCUAGUUAAAUGAAGGUUAAAUACAACUACUAAAUGUUGAUGAUAAGGAGUGGCAGGAGGAAUGAGGUUUCAACACAGGGCACUCAUCAUGAUCACGGAGUCCAAUAUUAUUCUGUAUCUUUAUUGUGAACAAUGCAAUGUCAAACUCGAAGAACUUGCUUCUGUUGUGAAGCAGAGGUAUUACGAAAAUUACUUAUCUAUAUUGAAACAUAGAUACAGUGGGAAAUGCAUAGGCUGCAGACACACUAACGAACACACCCAUAGCACUGUCUCAGUCAGAUGGAGUGAAGAGAGAAGGAUGUCACUUUAAUGGGAUUGAAUGAACAAACAGCAGAAGGUCCAUGUCCCCCGCACCCAUGACACACUACUCCUUCCAACCCAUCUCCUCUAGCCAUGCUCCUUACCUUCAGGUCCUUCCUACCCACCCCCUCUAGCCGUGCUCCUUACCUUCAGGUCCUUCCCACCCACCCCCUCUAGCCGUACUCCUUACCAUCAGGUCCUUCCCACCCACCCCCUCUAGCCGUACUCCUUAUCCUCAGGUCCUUCCCACCCACCCCCUGUAGCCAUGCUCCUUAGCCUCAGGUCCUUCCCACUCACCCCCUCUAGCCGUACUCCUUACCCUCAGGUCCUUCCCACCUACCCCCUGUAGCCAUGCUCCUUACCCUCAGGUCCUUCCCACCUACCCCCUGUAGCCAUGCUCUUUACCCUCAG
Oncorhynchus tshawytscha (Chinook salmon) is the source of this 730-nucleotide long non-coding RNA. The record is from Ensembl. NCBI's taxonomy places the organism in Eukaryota, Metazoa, Chordata, Actinopteri, Salmoniformes, Salmonidae.